CCCGAGGAUCGUUGUUGGGUUCUUCUGCCAGCGUCUGACACUACUGCUUCGUCGCCGUUUCAUGGAAAGGCCACAGGAACUUCUUUUGCACGUUGGGACCCUGUUCGAACAGCAGACCACGUCAGUGUUCUUCCUUCUUCUUCUUCGUCAGGUUUACGUUACUACUGCUGCAUUAUUUUCAUCGUACCGAAAUCGUCCAUUGACUCUCCCAUUGAACAAGAACUUACUUGAUGUCCGUGUCGACGGUGUCUCUUGGACGGCGUUAACUCAUACUGGAGCACAGGUGUCCAUAAUGAGUGCUAACGUCCGUCGUCGAGUAAAGAAGGCUCUCACGCCUGCUACUACACGAGAUGUACGCAUCGCCGAUUGCAGUGCUGUCGCCGUCACUGGAAC
Long non-coding RNA from Dermacentor albipictus, 393 nucleotides. RefSeq lists it as uncharacterized. The record is from RefSeq and is a predicted model, not a curated record. NCBI's taxonomy places the organism in Eukaryota, Metazoa, Arthropoda, Arachnida, Ixodida, Ixodidae.